RNAcentral lists this ribosomal RNA (561 nucleotides) under Triticum aestivum (bread wheat). RNAcentral describes it as "partial small subunit ribosomal RNA". Lineage: Eukaryota; Viridiplantae; Streptophyta; Magnoliopsida; Poales; Poaceae. The record is from RNAcentral.
AUGGCCAUCUUCGACGAGUUCUACGUUGGGUCCAUCGACCUCGGACGCCUCAACUAUGGGAUCAUCUCGCUCAUCCCUAAGGUGCCUGGCGCUUCCGACAUCCGCCAGUUUCGUCCAAUCACGGUCACCAAUGUGAUUUUCCGGAUUCUAGCAAAAGGGUACGCCAAUAGGGUGACCCUUCUUGCUGACCAUUUAACCCACCCCAACCAGUCCGCCUUCAUUCAAGAGCGAUAUAUCCUGGAUGGGGUGCUUGUUCUACAUGAAGUCCUCCAUGAGGUUCGAUCUAAACACCUCAAUGCGGUAUUCCUGAAGAUCGAUUUCCAUAAGGCCUAUGACAUUGUUUGUUGGCCCUUCCUUCGGGAAGUUUUGCUCCGGAAGGGCUUUGACGACCGUUGGAUCACUAGAGUGAUGCAAAUGGUCUCCUACGAUCGCACUGCCGUGAACAUCAAUGGGGAGAUCGGCCCUUACCUCCCCACCCUUUGUGGGGUUAGACAAGGCGAUCCCUUCUCCCCUUUUCUUGUUCAAUAUGGUGGUGGACGCUCUUGCCGCCAUCCUGGAUAA